RNAcentral lists this ribosomal RNA (432 nucleotides) under uncultured rumen bacterium. RNAcentral describes it as "bacterial SSU rRNA". It matches the Rfam family "Bacterial small subunit ribosomal RNA", at positions 958 to 1392 of the family's 1533-position model. The record is from RNAcentral.
AACGCGAAGAACCUUACCAGGUCUUGACAUCCCGAUGCUAUUCCUAGAGAUAGGAAGUUUCUUCGGAACAUCGGUGACAGGUGGUGCAUGGUUGUCGUCAGCUCGUGUCGUGAGAUGUUGGGUUAAGUCCCGCAACGAGCGCAACCCCUAUUGUUAGUUGCCAUCAUUAAGUUGGGCACUCUAGCGAGACUGCCGGUAAUAAACCGGAGGAAGGUGGGGAUGACGUCAAAUCAUCAUGCCCCUUAUGACCUGGGCUACACACGUGCUACAAUGGUUGGUACAACGAGUCGCGAGUCGGUGACGGCAAGCAAAUCUCUUAAAGCCAAUCUCAGUUCGGAUUGUAGGCUGCAACUCGCCUACAUGAAGCUGGAAUCGCUAGUAAUCGCAGAUCAAAUGCUGCGGUGAAUACUUUCCCGGGUCUUGUACACACCG